This 905-nucleotide ribosomal RNA is filed under the name uncultured archaeon. Its description in RNAcentral is "bacterial SSU rRNA". It matches the Rfam family "Archaeal small subunit ribosomal RNA", at positions 21 to 903 of the family's 1478-position model. The record is from RNAcentral.
CCCUACUGCUAUCGGGGUGGGACUAAAACAUGCUAGUCAAACGUCUCCAAGCCACGGAAGAGACGUGGCAAACAGCUCAGUAACACGUGGCCAACCUAACCUUGAGACAGGAACAACCCCGGGAAACUGGGGACAAUUCCAGAUAGGCGAGGAACCCUGGAAUGGAUCCUCACUCAAAAGGCAUCUGAACCAUGCUUCAGAUGUCGCUCAAGGAUGGAGCCGCGGCCGAUCAGGCAGUUGGUAGGGCAAAGGCCUACCAAACCUAUAACCGGUACGGGCCGUGAGAGCGGGAGCCCGGAGAUGGGAACUGAGACAAGGUCCCAGGCCCUACGGGGCGCAGCAGUUGCGAAAACUCCGCAAUGCACGAAAGUGUGACGGGGCUACCCCGAGUGCCGUCCGCUGAGGAUGGCUUUUCCACGCCGUAAGGAAGCGUGGGAAUAAGGAGAGGGCAAGUCUGGUGUCAGCCGCCGCGGUAAAACCAGCUCUCCGAGUGGUAGGGACGAUUAUUGGGCUUAAAGCGUCCGUAGCCGGCCUAACAAGUCUCUCGUCAAAUCCAACGAUCCAAUCGCUGGACCGCGGGAGAUACUGUCAGGCUAGGAGGCGGGAGAGGCCGACGGUACUCUUGGGGUAGGGGUGAAAUCCUAUAAUCCCAGGAGGACCACCAGUGGCGAAGGCUGUCGGCUGGCACGCGCUCGACGGUGAGGGACGAAAGCUUGGGGAGCGAACCGGAUUAGAUACCCGGGUAGUCCAAGCUGUAAACGAUGCGGGCUAGGUGUUGGGGUGGCUACGGGCCACUUCAGUGCCGCAGCGAAGGCAUUAAGCCCGCCGCCUGGGGAGUACGGCCGCAAGGCUGAAACUUAAAGGAAUUGGCGGGGGAGCACCACAAGGGGUGAAGCUUGCGGUUU